Molecule: long non-coding RNA, 3194 nt
Filed under: Homo sapiens (human)
Lineage: Eukaryota; Metazoa; Chordata; Mammalia; Primates; Hominidae
Description: HSALNT0192500
Source: RNAcentral
ACUGGAGCAAUGACUCAGCUCACAGUUCUACCCUAUAGCUAUGUUUGUGCCACUACCACCUCCUGCCUCAAAGAAACUCUUGCCAGGGUGAUUUACCAAGGAUAAAGAUGUCUAAUUUAAGUUGGACCAACCCAAUUCUCUUUCUUGGAAAUUUGAAACUAGAAGAGAGCCACAUGGAGAAUGAAGGUCUUAUUUCAACUGUUGUUCAGGAAUGAUCCAAACAAAUUCAGAAGCAGAUUUAAAUGUUAUAGGAUGGGCUGCUGUUGACCUCGCUGCUGACCUUGCUGCUGACCUCACUGCUGACCUUGCUGCUGACUUCACCGUUUCUCCCAAUAUAUGUCAGCUGAGUGGACUUUUGGCUGCCGGACAUGAAGAAAUCAUAUAAUCAAUUAAGCAAUCAAUCAACAAAUAUAUAGUGGACUUCUGCAAUUUGCAAGGCUCUGUGGCAAAUUGUACAAGAAGUGCAUUUUGCCUCCUGCCAUGAUUCUGAGGCCUCCCCAGCCCUGUGAAACUGUAAGUCCAAUUAAACCUCUUUUUCUUCCCAGUCUGAGGUAUGUCUUUAUCAGCAUCAUGAAAACGGACUAAUAUACUAUUCUUAAUUGAUAUGCCCGCACAAAUAUAGAGACACAUAGCAACAUAUAUACACAAAAUGCAAACAAAAUUGCUUGCAGCUUUAAGUAGAUCUAAGUAUACUUUUCCUUCUUCAGUGGGAACAAAGGUGUUGUAAUUGUUGUUUCUACCUACAGGUUAUGCUUCAACAUUGAUUACGUGAUAGUAGCAUUGCCGUUGUGCAGAGAAGGCAAUGCAUUAAUAAUCAUAGAGGGGUACAAAAGUCCAUCAUGGCUAGUAACUCAAAUCUCAAAUGCUCUGACCUUGACCCUAUAGCCUCAAUUUUUCUUAAAAAAAGAUUAUAACCAAAAUUAUAUUUAAACUUUAGGUUGACUUAAAGGUCUUUAAUUAUUUUUAAUGUUUUAAGAUCAUUAAAGAUCCUUGUCAAUCUAAAGUAUAUUAAAGAUAAUAAAACUUCUCAUCUUAACUCUUAUCUUGUGCUUUUUCUAGGAAACUGAAGUAAUAAGAAAUGCUUUGAAUAUACUCAGAACUGUAUCUUAUAAAAGGAUCACAAACACACAAUGCCAGAAGACCUUAGACAAGAGUGUAUGAAGGGCACAAAUGUAGGAGAGAAAUUAGUGAAGACAUAGUACUUUAAAAAUAAUAGACUUUCCCCCUUUUUAUUUAAAUUUUUGUAAGCAAAAACUUAUGAUAGAAUAUUUAGAAACAUAUUAGAGAUACAUAAUUUCAUCCUUAUUUAUUUAUUCAUUUAUUUUUAAGACAGAGUCUUGCUCUGUCGCCCAGGCUGGAGUGCAAUGGCCUGAUCAUGGCUCACUGCAACCUCUACAUCCUGGUCUCAAAUGAUUCUCAUGCCUCAACCUCCCAAGUAGCUGGGACUACAGGCAUGUGCCACCAUGUCUGACUAACUUUUUAUUUCUUUGUAGAGAUGGGGUUUCGCCAGGCUGGUCUCAAACUCCUGGACUCAAAUGAUCUGCAUGACUUUUCCUCCCAAAGUGCUGAGAUUACAGGUGAAAGCCACCAUGCUAGGCCUCAUUCAUGCAUUUAAAUAGUAAAUGGAGUGAUUGUAUUCUAAAUUUGCUAGGGCUUCUAUAACAAAGUAACGCAGACUGGGUGGCUUGAGUAACAGAAAUUUAUUUUCUCACAUUCUGGAGGAUGGAAGUCCAAGAUCAAAGUGCCAGCAGAGUGGUUUUGUCUUCCUUGGUUUGUAGAUGGCCAUCCUCUUGCUGCCUCAUCACACUGUGUCUGUGCACACCUGGGGGCUCUCCGUGUAUCUAAAUUUCCACUUCUUAUAAGAAAACCAGUCAGAAUGGAAUAAAGUCUUCCUCUAUGACCUCAUUUUAACUUAUUACCUCAUGCCCUAUCUCCAAAUACAGUCACAUUCUGAGUUACUGGGUGUUAGGGUUUAAACACAUGAACCUGGAUGAGGGGACACAAUUCAGCCUAUAGAAGUGACUUUAAUUGCGAAGAGCUUAGAGUUUCUUUAAAUCUAGAAUCUAGUGCAACUUCUUCAAAAUUUUCACUCUAUAUAAAUUAACCAUGAUCUAAUUUGCUAAUAAAAUGCAUUUAUUUAUUAAAAUGACAUUCCUGAAUUAGCUUUAUAGGACAAUAUACACACAUGUGUACAUAUUUGAGUAUAUAUACAUGCAUACAUACACUAAACAUAUAUGUUAGAGUAUUGGAGAGACAGCAAGGCAGUAUGGUUAUGGCUACGUGUUAUUCAUCCACACAUUUACAACCAAAAGUAUAGGUUUAUUUAUUGACCAAUUAGAUAUGGCCAAAUGAAUAACCAAAAUAGUACAUUUUCAUCAUGCUGAAAUCUUUCCUUUUAAAAAUGCACUUGACUAAGUUUCUCUUUUAGAUUAACCUACAAUUUUAUUUCUACAUUCAGCUUCAUUUUUGGAAACAUUUGAAUAGACUAAAAUAAAUUAUUUGCAGUUGUACUGUGAGUUCAAAGUAAUCUCAAGUACGUUAAGACCUCCCAUUGUUGUGGAUCAUAUUUUCCAAAAAUGGCUACAACAAUAUUCCUAGUCCGACAGACCCUUGUAACUUUCCAGCCAAGAGUAGUUUAUCUCUCCUCUAGACACAGUUUUUAAAACUUGAUGGACCUUUGUGAAUGCUUGAACAAAUAGAAUGCAGCAGAAGCGAUAUUAUGGGAUUUCGGAGAACAUGUCAUAAAAAAAUAUAUAGUCUCUCUCUCACUUUCUUUUUCUCCAUCUCUCAUUCUGGAACCCUGAGCAACUAUGUAAGAAGUCUGGCUGCCAUGAUGCCACCAUGCUGGAGGGACCACAUGGACAUACCAUGAAGAUAUAUAGAGAAAUGCUUUAGAAACCUCAGCUGUUCCGUCUUUCAGCUAUUUGAGUCUUCCUAGGCCAAGGGCCAGAUAUAUAAACAAAGAAGACUUGAUGGUGACUCCAGCCUUAGUCAACGUCUAACUGCAACCACGUGAGAGACUUUCAACCAGAACUAUGCAGUGGAGCUGCUUCUGAACUCCUGACCCAUAGAAACCAUGAAUGAUAAUAAAUGAUUGCUGUUUUCCUUAAAUGUUUGGUCGCAUUUCUCAGUGAAAUCAUCUGUGCCUAGAAUUUUCUUUCUAGAAAAGUUUCAAACUCCAAAUUCAAUUCUUA